RNAcentral lists this ribosomal RNA (253 nucleotides) under uncultured microorganism. Its description in RNAcentral is "partial 16S ribosomal RNA". It matches the Rfam family "Bacterial small subunit ribosomal RNA", at positions 524 to 776 of the family's 1533-position model. The record is from RNAcentral.
UACGUAGGGUGCGAGCGUUAAUCGGAUUUACUGGGCGUAAAGCGUGCGCAGGCGGCCCGUUAAGACAGGUGUGAAAUCCCUGGGCUCAACCUAGGAAUUGCGCUUGUGACUGGCGGGCUCGAGUACGGUAGAGGGGGGUGGAAUUCCUGGUGUAGCAGUGAAAUGCGUAGAGAUCAGGAGGAACACCAGUGGCGAAGGCGGCCCCCUGGGCCUGUACUGACGCUCAUGCACGAAAGCGUGGGGAGCAAACAGG